AACGAACGCUGGCGGCGCGUCUUAAGCAUGCAAGUCGAACGGCAAGAGAGGAGCUUGCUUCUCUCCUAGAGUGGCGGACUGGUGAGGAACACGUGGGUAAUCUACCCUUAAGAUGGGGAUAGCUGCUAGAAAUAGCAGGUAAUACCGAAUACACUCGGCAUAUCACAAGAGGUGUUGAGGAAAGGAAGCUACGGCUUCGCUUGAGGAUGAGCUUGCGUCCCAUUAGCUAGUUGGUGAGGUAAAGGCCCACCAAGGCGACGAUGGGUAUCCGGCCUGAGAGGGUGAACGGACACAUUGGGACUGAGAUACGGCCCAAACUCCUACGGGAGGCAGCAGCUAAGAAUAUUCCGCAAUGGACGGAAGUCUGACGGAGCGACGCCGCGUGGAUGAAGAAGGCGGAAAAGUUGUAAAAUCCUUUUGUUGAUGAAGAAUAAGGGUGAGAGGGAAUGCUCAUCUGAUGACGGUAAUCGACGAAUAAGCCCCGGCUAAUUACGUG
Molecule: ribosomal RNA, 496 nt
Filed under: uncultured bacterium
Lineage: Bacteria
Description: partial 16S ribosomal RNA
Rfam family: Bacterial small subunit ribosomal RNA
Source: RNAcentral